RNAcentral lists this ribosomal RNA (440 nucleotides) under uncultured bacterium. RNAcentral describes it as "partial 16S ribosomal RNA". It matches the Rfam family "Bacterial small subunit ribosomal RNA", at positions 338 to 795 of the family's 1533-position model. The record is from RNAcentral.
CCUACGGGAGGCAGCAGUGGGGGAUAUUGCACAAUGGGGGAAACCCUGAUGCAGCGACGCCGCGUGUGGGAAGACGGUCCUCUGGAUUGUAAACCACUGUCCCCAGGGACGAAGAUGACGGUACCUGGGGCGGAAGCUCCGGCUAACUACGUGCCAGCAGCCGCGGUAAUACGUAGGGAGCGAGCGUUGUCCGGAAUUACUGGGUGUAAAGGGAGCGUAGGCGGGACUGCAAGUUGGGUGUCAAAUCUACCGGCUCAACCGGUAGCCGCACUCAAAACUGCAGUUCUUGAGUGAAGUAGAGGCAGGCGGAAUUCCUAGUGUAGCGGUGAAAUGCGUAGAUAUUAGGAGGAACACCAGUGGCGAAGGCGGCCUGCUGGGCUUUGACUGACGCUGAGGCUCGAAAGUGUGGGGAGCAAACAGGAUUAGAUACCCCAGUAGUC